Molecule: ribosomal RNA, 253 nt
Filed under: uncultured bacterium
Lineage: Bacteria
Description: partial 16S ribosomal RNA
Rfam family: Bacterial small subunit ribosomal RNA
Source: RNAcentral
UACGUAGGGCGCAAGCGUUGUCCGGAAUUAUUGGGCGUAAAGAGCUCGUAGGCGGCUUGUCACGUCGGGUGUGAAAGCCCGGGGCUCAACCUCAGGCCUGCAGUCGAUACGGGCGGACUUGAGUACUGCAGGGGAGACUGGAAUUCCUGGUGUAGCGGUGAAAUGCGCAGAUAUCAGGAGGAACACCGGUGGCGAAGGCGGGUCUCUGGGCAGUAACUGACGCUGAGGAGCGAAAGCGUGGGGAGCGAACAGG